CCAGCCAUUUCAGGAUGCUAAGACCCUUCACCGAUACCUCCGCUCCACACAUAAAAGAAAGCAAGAGUCUUCUGCUGAAGGUGGGGCGGUCAAAAAACAAAAACCAAAACCUAAGUCCCCCUAGUCUCAAGGAGCUACGCUGCUUGUCGAAUCGGGUGAGGAAUCAGAAGAAACUUAUUCGUCAUUGGUUCUGAAAUGGAAGAGUAAGAUUUUUGUUCGAAAUAACUCCAUUUCAGCUUUGUUUGGUACUAACUUUCAAUUUCAUACGUAGCUUCGACAACUCUCUCUCCCAAAGCUCCAACAAAACAACUAGAUUCUUCCAUGGCUAUAGCAGCCUCGAAAGGGGAUGGGGCGCAAUGGACCUUCGACCCAGCGUUUCAGGCUGACCCCUCCAAUCCACAAGGUGAUGCUGUCGGUGUGGCUGAAUACACUCCUCCUCUAGUGACGCUUCUUCUCAAGAGGAACCUGCUUCAGCCGCUGAUCGCUCACCGACUCUGGGGGCUGCUGAAGGCAAUAUUGACCUUGUCGAAACUGCUCCUCCCCAACCUGGUGGCGUGCAAGGUGAUCUUCUGGCUACCGAAUCUACUCCUUUGACCAUUGCUGACAUUCCUCAUGACGACGAAUCUACACUCAUCUUUCUAGCUACCACUAAGAAGGUUUCUUCGCCUCCGUCGACAGUUGAUAACCAUGCUGAUCAAUCAACAGAGAAAAACUUGGCCUCGACAACUUUCAUUGAAGAUAACGUUCAGCCUUCUCCGAUGGAUAUUGAUAUUGACUCUGCAACUUGGCAUCGACAGCUUUCAUUGAAGAUAACCAUGUCGAGACCAUCUUACCACAUCAUAGGUUCUGGAACUUCUUCACAUGGGUUUAAUGGGCCCUAUGCAAGUUGAAAGUCUUGGUAGAAAGAAAUAUGCUUAUAUAGUUGUAAAUGACUACUCCAGAUACACUUGGGUAACCUUCAUCAGAGAAAAAUCAGAAGUCUUUGAUGUUUUCAAAGACCUAUGCCAAAGACUUCAAAGAGAAAAGGAGAGCAAUGUCAUUAGAAUCAUAAGUGAUCAUGGGAAGGAAUUUGAGAACAAAUUUUCUAAAUUCUGCUCAUAUGAAGGAAUCAACCAUGAGUUCUCUUCUCCCACUACCCCUCAAAAAAAUGGGAUUGUUGAACGUAAGAACAAAACUCUUCAGAAAUCUACUAAAGCUAUGAUUCAUGCAAAGAAAUUACCCUAUCAUUUUUAGGCUGAAGCUAUGAAUAUUGCUUGCUAUAUUCAUAACAGGGUCACACUGAGAAAAGGGACUUCAACUACUUUGUAUGAAGUUUGGAAGUAAGUGCUACAUUCUGGCUGAUCGUAAUCAAAGAAGGAAAUUGGAUCCUAAGAGUGAUGAGGGAAUAUUUAUGGGCUACUCCAUAAACAACAAAGCCUAUAGAGUCUUUAACUCCAGGACUAGAGUAAUGAUGGAAUCCAUAAAUGUUGUCAUUGAUGAUAAAGGGUGGAAUGCUGAAGAUGAUGUCCUAGAGGAUGUUGAAACAUCGAUCAAUGAAACAUUAACAGAAUUUACUGACCGAAGUAUUAACCCUAUCCAGUCUGAUAGAGCUGUUGAUCCUAUCCAAUCUGACAGAAAUUCUGACCCUAUUCAUGUUCAAGAGGAACCAAAGACAGAUCAAGCCAACAAGGGGCCUUCCAUCAGAAUUCAAAAUGAUCAUCCUAAAGAACUUAUUAUAGGAAAUCCUAAUCAAAGAGUCACCAUUUGAUCAAGGGGAAUCAUAUCAAAUUCUUGUCUUGUCUCUAAAAUUGAACCCAAGAAUGUCAAAGAAGCCUUGACUGAUGAGUUUUGGAUCAAUGCCAUGCAAGAAGAGCUAAAACAAUUCAAAAGGAACGAAGUCUAGGAUCUGGUCCCACGACCUGAAGGUACAAAUAUUAUUAGAACUAAAUGGGUGUACAAGAAUAAGUCUGAUGAAAAAAGUGUCAUUAUCAUAAAUAAAGCAAGAUUGGUUCCUCAAGGGUACACUCAAAUUGAAGGAAUUGACUUUGAUAAAACUUUU
Molecule: long non-coding RNA, 2038 nt
Organism: Vicia villosa (hairy vetch)
Lineage: Eukaryota; Viridiplantae; Streptophyta; Magnoliopsida; Fabales; Fabaceae
Exons: 3
Source: RefSeq, a predicted model, not a curated record